UCAGUUGUCUCCAGGCACAGCAUUUGUGCUACACGCCUUCUUCACGCCCUGUUUCCCUUCUUAACCUUCUGGGAGGAGGAGGCUUCGUGGCAUCUGAUGCAGAACAUCCAGAUUCAGCCACAGUUUUGUUCCCUAUAGCAUCAACCUUAUUCCAGCCAGAAGGGACUGGAAGUGACACACCAGCAGCGUUAAAACACAUAAUCAUCGCGGACAAAGAGGGCUACAAGCCAAAUCUGUGGCUCCUCAUACACUUUGCUUCUGGGAAAAUCCACCCUGUAAAUAAAAGAGCCAGUCAUGGGAUUGAUUAAAAAAUAACUUGGUUGUUUC
Long non-coding RNA from Pantherophis guttatus, 327 nucleotides. RefSeq lists it as uncharacterized. Lineage: Eukaryota; Metazoa; Chordata; Lepidosauria; Squamata; Colubridae. The record is from RefSeq and is a predicted model, not a curated record.